Molecule: ribosomal RNA, 647 nt
Filed under: Ogataea arabinofermentans
Lineage: Eukaryota; Fungi; Ascomycota; Pichiomycetes; Pichiales; Pichiaceae
Description: SSU rRNA
Rfam family: Eukaryotic small subunit ribosomal RNA
Source: RNAcentral
ACGAUUUGCCCACAAACGUUUUCAUUAAUCAAGAACGAAAGUUAGGGGAUCGAAGAUGAUCAGAUACCGUCGUAGUCUUAACCAUAAACUAUGCCGACUAGGGAUCGGGUGGUGUUCUUUUUUGACCCACUCGGCACCUUACGAGAAAUCAAAGUUUUUGGGUUCUGGGGGGAGUAUGGUCGCAAGGCUGAAACUUAAAGGAAUUGACGGAAGGGCACCACCAGGAGUGGAGCCUGCGGCUUAAUUUGACUCAACACGGGGAAACUCACCAGGUCCAGACACAAUAAGGAUUGACAGAUUGAUAGCUCUUUCUUGAUUUUGUGGGUGGUGGUGCAUGGCCGUUCUUAGUUGGUGGAGUGAUUUGUCUGCUUAAUUGCGAUAACGAACGAGACCUUAACCUACUAAAUAGUACUAUUACCGUUUGCUGAUUUGGGACUUCUUAGAGGGACUAUCGGUUUCAAGCCGAUGGAAGUUUGAGGCAAUAACAGGGUCUGUGAUGCCCUUAGACGUUCUGGGCCGCACGCGCGCUACACUGACGGAGCCAACCAGUAUAUCCUUUGCCGAAAGGUACGGGUAACCUUGUGAAACUCCGUCCGUGCUGGGCAUAGAGCAUUGCAAUUAUUGCCUCCUCAACGAGGAAUUCCUAG